GAGCGAACGCUGGCGGCAGGCCUAACACAUGCAAGUCGAACGAACUCUUCGGAGUUAGUGGCGGACGGGUGAGUAACACGUGGGAACGUGCCUUUAGGUUCGGAAUAACUCAGGGAAACUUGUGCUAAUACCGAAUGUGCCCUUCGGGGGAAAGAUUUAUCGCCUUUAGAGCGGCCCGCGUCUGAUUAGCUAGUUGGUGAGGUAAAGGCUCACCAAGGCGACGAUCAGUAGCUGGUCUGAGAGGAUGAUCAGCCACAUUGGGACUGAGACACGGCCCAAACUCCUACGGGAGGCAGCAGUGGGGAAUCUUGCGCAAUGGGCGAAAGCCUGACGCAGCCAUGCCGCGUGAAUGAUGAAGGUCUUAGGAUUGUAAAAUUCUUUCACCGGGGACGAUAAUGACGGUACCCGGAGAAGAAGCCCCGGCUAACUUC
Molecule: ribosomal RNA, 431 nt
Filed under: Brevundimonas sp. SC24
Lineage: Bacteria; Pseudomonadati; Pseudomonadota; Alphaproteobacteria; Caulobacterales; Caulobacteraceae
Also listed under: 1 other name
Description: bacterial SSU rRNA
Rfam family: Bacterial small subunit ribosomal RNA
Source: RNAcentral